This is a long non-coding RNA of Mus musculus (house mouse), 1466 nucleotides long. RefSeq annotates it as predicted gene, 36126. The record is from RefSeq and is a predicted model, not a curated record. Lineage: Eukaryota; Metazoa; Chordata; Mammalia; Rodentia; Muridae. The transcript is spliced from 3 exons.
ACUGCAGCAAGUGGAAACACUCCUUUUUCAACGCGAAUGGCCCUGAACUCCAGUUUUCACCGUUUAUUACUCACACCAUCUCGCUAAUUGAUUUCCCCUUCUGAGCUUCAGUGUUCUCAUCUCUAAAAUGGGGAGAAAGAAAGAAAAAGAAAAAUCACGGAACUGCUGGCUCAGAGCCUAGCAGCUUCCCGGAAGAUGGAGGAAGGCUGGUGUGAACUUCCUGUAACCCACAAACUCUUAGAGGAAGAAGCCAGGAAGGGUGCUGUCGACCUGGCUUCAGCCUAACUCAUGCAGGACAGCUUUCUCGGAGGUGAGACACAGCUCUACUCCCCAGACGAGCACAGGGACACAUGAAAUCCCGUGGCCACGACGAACAGUCACUGUGCAGAAGGACUGGGCUGUUCAUCAGCUUCCGUAUUUGCAGAUUGUAGCCCCAGUAACUGUUUCCCUCAGCCUGUUACCAGAUAGAGGUGUGACUGGCAGGAAUCCUGAGACCUCAUUUUCUACCACCUUAUCCAGAUACAAAUACUCAGGAUGCCUGCACCGCUGGAAUGCUCGCUCGUGGCGACUACUAUGCCAAUCCCCCAGGGUAGGUUUUUCUUUAGAUGACAACCUUUCAGCCACCUUAUUUGAAGUCUCAACAUCACUGAGCAAAUUAUUUAUCCUGUUACUUACUCUAUUCUGAUGUCCCUUCCAACCAAUGGAGGGAGCCUAAUGAGUCCCUGGACCCCACAGCUUCGACAUAGCAAUAGGGGAGCCUUGCCUAAACUCCCCAGAGUGGCUACAUGAGGUACCAGUGGUCAAGGGGAAAACAUCCUCAGUCCCUGGCUGCUGCCUGACCUCAUAAAGUGGCCUAAGCCCAUCUUUGAAGCUCCCAGCCACCCGUUGAGAGGCUAAAGAAAGUAGGCCUGGUGUCUCUCAUCUGCAAUCCCAACACAGGCUAGAAGGCAGGAGGAUGGAUUCCUGUGAGUUUGAGGUCAGCCUGGGAUAUGCAGUGAGUUUAAGGACCAGCCUUGGCUGCAGAGGAAGGACCUGUCUCAAAACACUAAAGAACAAGGAGCCAGCAAGUAAAGUACAUCUUUAGACUGCUAAAGAUCUGCGUUUGAUUCUCUGCAAGUUGUUGCCUGACCUCCAGAUAUGGCCGUGGUGUCCCACCCCCAUGAUAAUAAUGCAUUUUAAAAGAAGUUUACAAAAAGAAAAAACAAAGUAGUAAACAGUAGAAACAAGACCCCACUCCAUGUUCUCUCUCGUGUAUGGAUCUCAAUGUGAAUGUGGUACAGACUUUAAGGUUGUGUGUUCAAUCUGGAUACCUGUCGAAACCAGGAACCAGGAAGCUUGGAGGUGGGGGUGGGGUGGGGAAGAGUUGAACAGGCAGUAUGAAAGGGACAGAAGAAUAAUGGGGGUUAGGUUUAAGUAGUGUGGUGGUUUGUAUAUGCUUGGCCCAGGGAGUAUCACUAUUAGGAGGU